UCCAUAAAAUGAGUAUGAUCCUGGCUCAGAAUGAAGGCUAUGAGUCUGCUUUAAUACAUGCGAGUCGAAUGGGUUAGACCCAUGGCGUACGGGUGAGUAAUGUACGACAAUUUAGUCUUGACUCCGGGAUAAUUCUAUCUCUGUGGGGAGAAGUUAACCAGAAAAAUACCGGAUUUAAAAGGUCCGCCGGUUAAGAAUAAUGUCGUAUAGUAUUAGGUAGUUGGUAAGGUUAGGCUUACCAAGCCGUUGAUGCUUAGCUGGUCUGGAAGGACGAUCAGCCACAUUGGGACUGAGACAAGGCCCAGGUUUCUUUUGAGGGCAGCAGUAGGGAAUAUUGGACAAUGAGCGAAAGCUUGAUCCAGCAAGACUCGGUGGGGGAUUGAAGGCUUCGGUUGUAAACCUCUUUUUUAGUGUAAGAUUAUGACAUUAAGCUAAGAAUAAGUCCCGACUAACUUCGUGCCAGCAGUCGCGGUAAUACGGAGGGGGCAAGCCUUAUUCAAAAUAACUGGGCGUAAAGCGUUCGUAGGUGGUCUUUUGUCUGUUUUUUGUUAAAUCUUGGGGCUUAACCUCAAAAAAGCAAGGAAAACAUUUAGACUUGAGUCUAACAGAGGAGAAUGGAAUGCCCUAAUUAGGGGUAGAAUCCUUAGAAGUGGGGUGGAACAUCGUAAUGGCGAAAGCGAUUCUCUUGUUUAGUACUGACGCUGAGGUACGAAAGCAUAGGUAGCGAGCAGGAUUUGAUACCCUGGUAGUCUAUGCCGUCAACUAUGAGUGCUAAUUCUUAGAUUUUUUAGGAAACAAACAGCUAAGGCUUUAAGCAUUCCGCCUGAAGAGUACGAGCGCAAGCUUAAAAAUCAAGGGAAUUGGCGGGGGUCCAAACAAGUGGUGGAGCAUGUGGUUUAAUGCGAUGAUACGCGCGUAACCUUACCAGUUUUUGUAAGUUUGUCAUCUUUAUAGAAAUAUAAAAGAUUUUGGAACUUUCAGGUGUUGCAUGGCCGUCGUCAGCUCGUGUCGUGAGAUGUUAGGUUAAUUCCUUAGGACGAGCGAAACCCCUAUUUGGUUAGUGUUUUAGCGCUUAAUAAAAACCGAUUAAAUACUGCAAGUCUAGGGCUUGAGGAAGGUGGGGAUGAGGUCAGGUCUUCAUGGCCCUUAUAAACUGGGCUACACACGUGCUACAAUGGAAAAGACAAAAAGUUGCAACGGUGCAAAUCAGAGCCAAUCUUUAAACUUUUUCUUAGUUCGGAUUGGGGGCUGCAAUUCGCCCCCAUGAAGCUGGAAUCACUAGUAAUCGCGUAUUAGAAUGCCGCGGUGAAUACGUCACUGGGCCUUGCACACACCGCCCGUCACAUCCUGGAAGUUUAUCUUGCUUGAAGAUUGUGGGUUAAUCUUUCUUUUUAUUGUUGAUGAGGAAGAGAUUCUUUGUAUAUAUUUUUAAAAUUAAAGAAGUCCCCUCUUAAAAGAAAGAUAAAUGACUGGGAUGAAGUCGUAACAAGGUAGUCGUAGGGGAACCUGCGUCUGGUAACAACAUAUAU
RNAcentral lists this ribosomal RNA (1529 nucleotides) under Dictyopteris divaricata. RNAcentral describes it as "bacterial SSU rRNA". It matches the Rfam family "Bacterial small subunit ribosomal RNA". The record is from RNAcentral. Lineage: Eukaryota; Phaeophyceae; Dictyotales; Dictyotaceae.